GAGGGUAUAGCUCAGUGGUAGAGUGCGUGCUUAGCAUGCGCAAGGUCCUGGGUUCAAUCCCCAGUACCUCCA
This 72-nucleotide transfer RNA is filed under the name Camelus bactrianus (Bactrian camel). It matches the Rfam family "tRNA". From Rfam's summary of the family: Transfer RNA (tRNA) molecules are approximately 80 nucleotides in length. Their secondary structure includes four short double-helical elements and three loops (D, anti-codon, and T loops). Further hydrogen bonds mediate the characteristic L-shaped molecular structure. tRNAs have two regions of fundamental functional importance: the anti-codon, which is responsible for specific mRNA codon recognition, and the 3' end, to which the tRNAs corresponding amino acid is attached (by aminoacyl-tRNA synthetases). tRNAs cope with the degeneracy of the genetic code in two manners: having more than one tRNA (with a specific anti-codon) for a particular amino acid; and 'wobble' base-pairing, i.e. permitting non-standard base-pairing at the 3rd anti-codon position. Lineage: Eukaryota; Metazoa; Chordata; Mammalia; Artiodactyla; Camelidae. RNAcentral also lists the same sequence under 2 other names. The record is from Rfam by way of RNAcentral.